Molecule: ribosomal RNA, 426 nt
Filed under: uncultured bacterium
Lineage: Bacteria
Description: bacterial SSU rRNA
Rfam family: Bacterial small subunit ribosomal RNA
Source: RNAcentral
GGGGAAUCUUCCGCAAUGGACGAAAGUCUGACGGAGCAACGCCGCGUGUACGACGAAGGCCUUCGGGUUGUAAAGUACUGUCUUCAGGGACGAACGGUAAGUAUGUAAAUAAUGUACUUACAUGACGGUACCUGAGGAGGAAGCCCCGGCUAACUACGUGCCAGCAGCCGCGGUAAUACGUAGGGGGCAAGCGUUGUCCGGAAUCAUUGGGCGUAAAGGGCGCGUAGGCGGAUACUUAAGUCUGGUGUGAAAACCUAGGGCUCAACCCUGGGACUGCAUCGGAAACUGGGUAUCUUGAGGACAGGAGAGGAAAGUGGAAUUCCACGUGUAGCGGUGAAAUGCGUAGAUAUGUGGAGGAACACCAGUGGCGAAGGCGACUUUCUGGACUGUAACUGACGCUGAGGCGCGAAAGCGUGGGGAGCAAAC